CUACUCUUAACUUCUCCCCUGGCCCUACAUAUUCUGGCCCACUCCUGUCCUGCUCUUAGUUCUACUUCUUGCUCCUACUCUGGACCCUGCUCUUGGCUCUACUCUUAGUUCUACUCCUGGCUCUACUCUUAGUUCUACUCUUGGCCCUACUCUUAGUUCUACUCCUGGCCCUACUCUUAGUUCUACUCCUGACUCCUUAACUCCUUCAGUCUACUCUUGGCUCUUAGUUCUACUCCUGACGUCUGACUCUUUGGAGCCUACUCUUGGCUCUUAGUUCUACUCCUGGCCCUACUCUUAGUUCUACUACCGGCCCUACUCCUAGUUCUACUCCUGGCCCUACUCUUGGCUCUUUAGUUCUACUCUGGUUCUACCCUUAUUUCUACACCUGGCUCUAUGUAGUCCUGGCCCCACUCCUGGUCCUGCUCUUAGUUCUACUCUUGGCUCUACUCCUGGCCUGGCUCUUGUGCUUCUACUCUUAGUUUCGACUCUUGCUCUACUCUUAGUUCUACUCCUGGGCCCUACUCUUAGUUCUAGUCCUGGCUCUACUCCUAGCUGUCUACUCUUUGGUUCUACUCUAGUCCUACUCGUUGGCUCUAGUUCUACUCUUGGCUCUACUCUUAGUUCUACUCUUGACUCUACUCUUAGUUCUACUCUUGGCCCUACUCUUGGUUCUACUCCUACUUCUACCCCUGGCCAUACGUAGUCCUGGCCCCACUCCUGCGUUUCCUGCUCUUUAGUGUCUUAUCUUCUUGGCCUACUCCGUGGCCCUGCUCUGGCUCUACUCUUUAGUUUCUGACUCCUGACCUCUACUCUUAGUUCUACUCCUGGCCCUACUCUUAGCUUCUACUUCUGCCCUACUCUUAGUUCUACUUCCUGGCUCACUCCUAGUUCUACUCUUGGGUUCUAUCUAGUCCUACUCUUGGCUCUUAGUUCUACUCUUGGCUCUACUCUUAGUUCUGCUCUUGGCCCUACUCUUGGUUCUACUCCUACUUCUACCCCUGGCCCUACAUAGUUCUGGCCCCCGCAUCUCCUGGGCUGUCCUUGCCUGUCUUAGUUCUACCUC
Molecule: long non-coding RNA, 1063 nt
Filed under: Coturnix japonica (Japanese quail)
Lineage: Eukaryota; Metazoa; Chordata; Aves; Galliformes; Phasianidae
Description: lncRNA (ENSCJPG00005002224.1)
Source: RNAcentral